Long non-coding RNA from Suricata suricatta (meerkat), 513 nucleotides. RefSeq lists it as uncharacterized. Lineage: Eukaryota; Metazoa; Chordata; Mammalia; Carnivora; Herpestidae. The record is from RefSeq and is a predicted model, not a curated record. The transcript has 4 exons.
UCAGCGCUCUGUUCUUAAAACUAUCAAGUGAAUAACGUCAAACUAGCCUACAGGUGUGGGUAAGAGACCAGACAGAAGAGAAUCAAGAUGCCCUGACUCACAGCCUUGCCAGUCACUGGACAGAGUGAGACCACCCUAUAUCAUUCAGCCACCAGCCAAUUACCAGCUGACCAUGAACACAUGAGACAGCACAGCCCAUCACCAGGAGGGGUCAGAUCAGAAGCACACAGCCAAUCAACAGAAUACUGAAGUUAAUGAAAGAAUCCACUGCCACAUGUAUCCCACAGACCUGCAGCCUCUCACCAGCUGGAAGAUUGUGCCUUUUCCUAUUCUUUUGAGUAAAUCCCAUGCUUGAUACGAGUAUAAACAAAGGAUAUAAGGAAUAUGAGCAAACAACUAUUGAUCACGAUCCCACAUUGGUGGGUUCCAGCUCUGCAUCGUGCUGUCUACUGUGAGGGAGGAGCCCACUUCGGAUCCUCUGUCUCCCUCUCUCUCUGCCCCUGCCCCACUUGU